Molecule: ribosomal RNA, 470 nt
Filed under: Eutreptiella gymnastica
Lineage: Eukaryota; Euglenozoa; Euglenophyceae; Eutreptiales; Eutreptiaceae
Description: partial Bacterial large subunit ribosomal RNA
Rfam family: Bacterial large subunit ribosomal RNA
Source: RNAcentral
AAUUAAUUGAAACAUCUUAUUAGUUUAAGGAAUAGAAAUCAAACGAGAUUUCAUUAGUAGUGGCGAGCGAAAAUGAAUUAGAGUACAUACAAUAAAAAAGUUAAAUAAUUUGAAAUAAUUAACUAUAAAAGGUUAAAGUCCUGUAAGCUUUUGCGUAUAUUUGUAGUAGAAGAGAUUUCGAGGAGAUCUCUUUGAAUAUUGGAGGACCAUACUUCAAACUCUAAAUAUCUUCAUAUGACCGAUAGAAUAAAGUACUGUGAAGGAAAGAUGAAAAGAAUUCUUAGAUGGAAGUGAAAAGAUUUUGAAAUCUAAUACUCUCAACCGACCGAAGUAUUUAAAAUAUGACGGUGUGCCUUUUGUAUCAUGCAUUAGCGACUUUAAAUUUACAGCAAGCUUAAAUUGUUAAAUGUAAGCGUAGUUAAAGCAAGUGUUCAGUAUACACUAAAUAGUUGUAAAUUUAAGACCCGAAA